This 572-nucleotide ribosomal RNA is filed under the name uncultured bacterium. RNAcentral's name for it is "bacterial SSU rRNA". It matches the Rfam family "Bacterial small subunit ribosomal RNA", at positions 820 to 1394 of the family's 1533-position model. The record is from RNAcentral.
GUGUAGGAGGUAUCGACCCCUUCUGUGCCGUCGUUAACACAAUAAGUACCCCGCCUGGGGAGUACGGUCGCAAGACUAAAACUCAAAGGAAUUGACGGGGGCCCGCACAAGCAGCGGAGCAUGUGGUUUAAUUCGAAGCAACGCGAAGAACCUUACCUAGACUUGACAUCUCCUGAAUUACCCUUAACCGGGGAAGCCCUUCGGGGCAGGAAGACAGGUGGUGCAUGGUUGUCGUCAGCUCGUGUCGUGAGAUGUUGGGUUAAGUCCCGCAACGAGCGCAACCCUUAUUUUUAGUUGCUACCAUUUGGUUGAGCACUCUAAAGAGACUGCCCGGGUUAACCGGGAGGAAGGUGGGGAUGACGUCAAAUCAUCAUGCCCCUUAUGUCUAGGGCUACACACGUGCUACAAUGGUGAGAACAAAGAGACGCAAGACCGCGAGGUGGAGCAAAUCUCACAAAACUCAUCCCAGUUCGGAUUGCAGGCUGAAACUCGCCUGCAUGAAGCCGGAGUUGCUAGUAAUCGCGAAUCAGCAUGUCGCGGUGAAUACGUUCCCGGGCCUUGUACACACCGCC